Molecule: ribosomal RNA, 165 nt
Filed under: Periconia pseudobyssoides
Lineage: Eukaryota; Fungi; Ascomycota; Dothideomycetes; Pleosporales; Periconiaceae
Description: partial large subunit ribosomal RNA
Rfam family: Eukaryotic large subunit ribosomal RNA
Source: RNAcentral
CGGCAACAGCUCAAAUUUGAAAUCUGGCUCUUUCAGGGUCCGAGUUGUAAUUUGCAGAGGGUGCUUUGGUGUUGGCGGCGGUCUAAGUUCCUUGGAACAGGACAUCGCAGAGGGUGAGAAUCCCGUAUGUGGUCGCCUGCCUUCGCCGUGUAAAGCCCCUUCGAC